UCCUUUGAUGAAUGAAAUUUUACCUAGAUAACUAUUUUACACUUUUAUUUUGAAAAAUAUCUUACAUUAGAUCAUCUACUAUGUACCAGGUACCGUAUUUGCCAUUACAUUUAUACACAGAGAGAUAUAACAGUGAGCAUAACAGGCAUGGUCCCUGCCCUUACUGGGCCACAUCCUCUCUCAGGUUGACCUUCUCCACUUGGGCUGUUCUCAAUUUUCAAGAUCUUCACACUUAACAUUCACCAGCAUCCUUUCCUGAUCACUUUAACCUACUGUGUCCUCU
This 283-nucleotide long non-coding RNA is filed under the name Homo sapiens (human). RNAcentral's name for it is "non-protein coding lnc-REELD1-4:1". The record is from RNAcentral. Lineage: Eukaryota; Metazoa; Chordata; Mammalia; Primates; Hominidae.